CAAGGAAGAGGUUUGAGGGGAGGGCCUCGCCUAUCAAGCUUGACAGGGAAAUGAGUUAAACAUGCAGUCACUCCACCCCAUCAAGGCAGAAGCCCAACUGGAUUGUCCCAGGUGACUACAAUAAAAAGGAAGCUGGUAUAAAAGGAGUGAUUAGGAACAGGCUUGCUUUUCAGAAUAGGGGUACAAUGGGUUAGUGCUUGAGAACAGAAGUGAUGGAAAAUUUGAGGGAACCAAUCCUUAAACAGAGAAGAGGUCUGAGACUCCAGGUGAGAUGAGCCUAAUGAUCGCCUUUACAAGGUGUUUACAAAGGCUCCACGAGGCAUCUCAAUUUGUGUGCUGAACCGCAUCAAGCACUGGAGCCACUUUCCUGAUGACAGAAACGCCCUGCUCUGCUGGCCAGCGUUGUCUGCACACAUGGGACAUGAGUUUCAGGGACAGUGGCAAACAGAAGCAGGAAGAAUACCUGAAGACCACCCCUCACUUUGCCUGUCUCUGGUACAAUGCACUCAUUUGGGCUGUCAGAUGAAACCAACAGCCAUCCUUUAGACUUCUCUAGACUUUCUCUUUGAGAAAACAAAGGUCAUACAACACUGUAAGGGCCUUCUGGAGAACAAUGCUGAUCAUUCAAGUUUCAUCCUGCAAGCCAGUACAGACCAAUGAUGUUUACUGGGUCAGCUUCUCAUCAUUCCCAAAUAUCUAACUGCACAGGUAGCAAAAGAAGCAAGCUGAUGUUCUCCCACCAUCCUCGCACGUGAUGGGGCACUAAUAUUUACACAAAUCCAACGCCAUAUGACUUAUCACCAGCUGUUACACAUAUGCUGUUACACAUACAGACUGCUAGUUACACUACUCCUGGUUUCACUCUGGAUUUGCAUUGGUCCUUGGUACUUUUAAGCCUUCAGUGGUAGGUGGAUCCCCACGGCAUCUCCACCCUCAGCCGUUCUGUCUAAAGAGCAGCUGGCCCAGUUUCACCCACACAGUUCUGUGCUUCCAUUGCCUCUCUUGCCAUAGGCUCUCACCCAAGGUGCAAAGCCACAUCUGCAGUAUUUGCAUGAUGGCCAAUGACUGCUGCCCCUUCCUUUACUUUCCCUUCACUUGCCUUUUCCUGCCUCCCUUCUCCACACAUCCCUGUUGCUGGCUUCAGUCCUGAAAUGACUUUCUGAUAGACAAAAUGUCUUUAAAUCUGUAGUGUUCACUAUCCUUCAACUUUUCCUUUUUAGAGCUAAUCUGCUUUCAUUGCCACCAUAUAUAACUUGGAAUGACAGAUAAUAGUGUAAGAGAGAAUAAUAUUCUAAAUACUUAAACAAAUUUUAUUUUAUUUUUUUAAUUGAAAGGUCCUUCCUGAUGCUGAUAUUUCCGUAUAACUGCUUAAGCAACUGUUUUUCCUUGGAAGAUCUGAAAUCCCAAUUGAUCAGAGAAAUGAAAACAGAGAAAAGGCUUUCCUCUUGACAUGGAGGAUUUGAUUGUGUCCUCACAUAUAUUUAGUGUAGUGACUUAUCCCUGCAAAGCCCAAAAAGAGAACAAAUGGUAUGCUCUGCUUAUGAAUAGUAUAGUAGCAUGAUUGCAAAAUUUACAGGAACACCAGCUUUAUUUCUGUGUGUUAUUAGUCUUUAUAACUAGCAAGCUGUUAAGAAUUAGUUCAUCAUCUUUUUCUUUACACCACAUUUAUGCCCUUAUGUUAAAAUCACAUCUGAAUGGACAGCUAUGAGAUCAAACUAAUUAUUUGAGAUUAAACUGAGUUUUCAGAUAAAAAUACAAAAGUGAUGACUCUGUAAAGAGAAGUUCCUCACCUGAAAGUCACCUUUAGCCUUAAGUCAGCACAACUUGCACUGCAAACUCUUGGGACCAAGCUCAGCUGAGGUGAAGAAAUGUGUCAGGGGAGUGCUUCUGUGGUACUGCAUGAACAUAUGGAUGCAGUAAAAGUGGCCAGGCACCGUGCUGUGGAUUUGCUGUGUGACUCUGAGCAUAUCAGUGCAGGCUCUGAUCUUCAGAGGACAUUGGGGAGAACCAGAGCACAGAUCUUUUACAACAGUACAAGGAUUGCAUGUAGAUGUAUAUAAAAUCCAUUGUAUGUAAAUAGAACUCUUUUUAGACUGAUGAACAUGGAGUAAAAAUUGGCAAGCAGUCAGACAUGUGAACACAUCUUCCUCCUCCAUUAGCCCACAGUCUUGGUCUUGCUUGCAAUUUUAGACCAUCCUUUCUCCAGUCCCACCACUGAUCUAUACAGAAAUUAAUUUGAAUCUGUGGUAUUCUGUGGAAGAUUGCAACUUAAAUUUCAAGGGAAUGAAUGACAGUAAGGGUAGAGUUGUGGUUUAUGCACUCCAGAGAUGCGGGUUUAUUUCUUUACAGCAUCCUGUAAAGAUGGACACAUCACAGAGUGUGCUGCUGAGUGAUUCAGCUUUCCAGCUCCUAAGAUAAAGAUGCUAUUUCAAAGAUAUUGGAAUACUGUAGUGGUUUGACAUUUUGUGAGUUUUUAAAAUGUCUCCCUUGGAUUUAAUUCUCCAAAUUGAUGGUUAAACCACAGACCUAGAUAAGACAGAGAUUUGAAGUAAGAAAAACAAUGUAGAGUGCAUCAGAAGUUGAAACCAAUUCACACAAGCCUCAGAAGAAAUAAAGGGAGAAGGUAAAAAUACCAAUCCCAUACAUCCUAGAAUUUUGUGAUAGAUCUAUGAGCAUUUUUAAGUCAUAAAGGACUCACUGUCAAACCUCUGGCACUUUGGAUAUUUCCUUUCAUGAAAGGGCAAACGUUUUGUACAGUCUGUUUAUGGUAUCACAAUGAGGAAACACUCAAAUAGAGGUAAAUAGGAAAGUUGGUACUUUGACUUUGGAGUCUUCGAAAAUUCCCAGGGAUUCAAGGAAAGAAGAUGAUCAAACAGUUUACUCUGCUGCAGUAUCCUUGGCCACCUGGAAUAUAUCACAUAACAGUGUGACAUUGCUCCGUAUUACUUUGGUAAUCCAAUAAAUGUGAAUUCAACCCUGGGGAAAUAUAACUGCAUAAAAAUGUAAUUAUUGGCUUAUAAAAAUCAUACUUUCCUCAUG
Anas platyrhynchos (mallard) is the source of this 3039-nucleotide long non-coding RNA. RefSeq lists it as uncharacterized. The record is from RefSeq and is a predicted model, not a curated record. NCBI's taxonomy places the organism in Eukaryota, Metazoa, Chordata, Aves, Anseriformes, Anatidae.